Molecule: ribosomal RNA, 253 nt
Filed under: uncultured bacterium
Lineage: Bacteria
Description: partial 16S ribosomal RNA
Rfam family: Bacterial small subunit ribosomal RNA
Source: RNAcentral
UACGGAGGGUGCAAGCGUUAUCCGGAUUCACUGGGUUUAAAGGGUGCGUAGGUGGGUUGGUAAGUCAGUGGUGAAAUCUCCGGGCUUAACCUGGAAACUGCCAUUGAUACUAUCAAGCUUGAAUACCUUGGAGGUGAGCGGAAUAUGUCAUGUAGCGGUGAAAUGCUUAGAUAUGACAUAGAACACCAAUUGCGAAGGCAGCUCACUACACGGUCAUUGACACUGAGGCACGAAAGCGUGGGGAUCAAACAGG